Molecule: ribosomal RNA, 488 nt
Filed under: uncultured bacterium
Lineage: Bacteria
Description: partial 16S ribosomal RNA
Rfam family: Bacterial small subunit ribosomal RNA
Source: RNAcentral
GAUGAACGCUAGCGGCAGGCCUAAUACAUGCAAGUCGGACGGGAUCCAUUGAUAGCUUGCUAUCAAUGGUGAGAGUGGCGCACGGGUGCGUAACGCGUGAGCAACCUGCCUCCAUCAGGGGGAUAGCCUCUCGAAAGAGAGAUUAACACCGCAUAAUAUCAACAGUUCGCAUGUUCAGUUGAUUAACUAUUUAUAGGAUGGAGAUGGGCUCGCGUGACAUUAGCUAGUUGGUAGGGUAACGGCUUACCAAGGCGACGAUGUCUAGGGGCUCUGAGAGGAGAAUCCCCCACACUGGUACUGAGACACGGACCAGACUCCUACGGGAGGCAGCAGUAAGGAAUAUUGGUCAAUGGGCGGAAGCCUGAACCAGCCAUGCCGCGUGCAGGAAGACUGCCCUAUGGGUUGUAAACUGCUUUUGUCCAGGAAUAAACCUAAAUACGAGUAUUUAGCUGAAUGUACUGGAAGAAUAAGAAUCGGCUAACUCCGUG